GACAGAGGGUGCAAACGUUGUUCGGAAUUACUGGGCGUAAAGCGUGUGUAGGCGGCCGCGUAAGUCGGAUGUGAAAGCCCUGGGCUCAACCCAGGAAGUGCACUCGAUACUGCGCGGCUCGAGUACUGGAGAGGUUGGUGGAAUUCUCGGUGUAGAGGUGAAAUUCGUAGAUAUCGAGAGGAACACCGGUGGCGAAGGCGGCCAACUGGACAGAUACUGACGCUGAGACACGAAAGCGUGGGGAGCAAACAGG
This 253-nucleotide ribosomal RNA is filed under the name uncultured bacterium. RNAcentral's name for it is "partial 16S ribosomal RNA". It matches the Rfam family "Bacterial small subunit ribosomal RNA", at positions 524 to 776 of the family's 1533-position model. The record is from RNAcentral.